RNAcentral lists this long non-coding RNA (418 nucleotides) under Monodelphis domestica (gray short-tailed opossum). Its description in RNAcentral is "lncRNA (ENSMODG00000038947.1)". Lineage: Eukaryota; Metazoa; Chordata; Mammalia; Didelphimorphia; Didelphidae. The record is from RNAcentral.
GAGCACUUUGCAAUUGAACGGAGGUCCCUAAGGUUUUUUUGAGCCCCCACUGCAGCGCCUAUGAUCCAUAUCUGGUCCUUGCUUCCUUCUGCAGGAUUAUUCCAGUUUCUGUCUUGUGAGAAGAUUUCCUUUAGUUGUGGGAAUUGGGGGAAAAACCCUUAUUGUAUUCUUUGAAUCUAGUGCUGAGUGUGUGAGAAGCUGGACCACCUCUACCUGUUGUUUGGACAUCCUUAACUAAGGACCUAAAUUCAGCCAGAGCCAAAGACGGGGGCAAGGAAGUUUCUCACAAUUAGGCAUCUUAAGCAAUGCAUAUGUCUAUAAGCAGGUUCCAUACUGAUUAAUUAAAAAUAAUAUUUUAAUUAAUUAUUUUUAAUUUAAUUUAUUUUAUAUAUAAAAUAAAAUAUAAAUAAAUCAAUAC